UGGGGAAUUUUGGACAAUGGGCGAAAGCCUGAUCCAGCAAUGCCGCGUGUGUGAAGAAGGCCUUCGGGUUGUAAAGCACUUUUGUCCGGAAAGAAAUCCUUGGCUCUAAUACAGUCGGGGGAUGACGGUACCGGAAGAAUAAGCACCGGCUAACUACGUGCCAGCAGCCGCGGUAAUACGUAGGGUGCAAGCGUUAAUCGGAAUUACUGGGCGUAAAGCGUGCGCGGGCGGUUUGCUAAGACCGAUGUGAAAUCCCCGGGCUCAACCUGGGAACUGCAUUGGUGACUGGCAGGCUAGAGUAUGGCAGAGGGGGGUAGAAUUCCACGUGUAGCAGUGAAAUGCGUAGAGAUGUGGAGGAAUACCGAUGGCGAAGGCAGCCCCCUGGGCCAAGUACUGACGCUCAUGCACGAAAGCGUGGGGAGCAAACAGGAUUAGAUACCCUGGUAGUCCACGCCCUAAACGAUGUCAACUAGUUGUUGGGGAUUCAUUUCCUUAGUAACGUAGCUAACGCGUGAAGUUGACCGCCUGGGGAGUACGGUCGCAAGAUUAAAACUUAAAUGAAUUGACGGGGUCAUAGCUGUUUCCU
RNAcentral lists this ribosomal RNA (586 nucleotides) under uncultured bacterium. RNAcentral describes it as "partial 16S ribosomal RNA". It matches the Rfam family "Bacterial small subunit ribosomal RNA", at positions 355 to 1375 of the family's 1533-position model. The record is from RNAcentral.